GAUGAACGCUGGCGGCGUGCUUAACACAUGCAAGUCGAACGAAGCACUUUAUUUGAUUUCCUUCGGGACUGAUUAUUUUGUGACUGAGUGGCGGACGGGUGAGUAACGCGUGGGUAACCUGCCUUGUACAGGGGGAUAACAGUUGGAAACGGCUGCUAAUACCGCAUAAGCGCACAGCAUCGCAUGAUGCAGUGUGAAAAACUCCGGUGGUAUAAGAUGGACCCGCGUUGGAUUAGCUAGUUGGUGAGGUAACGGCCCACCAAGGCGACGAUCCAUAGCCGACCUGAGAGGGUGACCGGCUACAUUGGGACUGAGACACGGCCCAAACUCCUACGGGAGGCAGCAGUGGGGAAUAUUGCACAAUGGGCGAAAGCCUGAUGCAGCGACGCCGCGUGAGCGAAGAAGUAUUUCGGUAUGUAAAGCUCUAUCAGCAGGGAAGAUAAUGACGGUACCUGACUAAGAAGCACCGGCUAAAUACGU
RNAcentral lists this ribosomal RNA (480 nucleotides) under uncultured bacterium. RNAcentral describes it as "partial 16S ribosomal RNA". It matches the Rfam family "Bacterial small subunit ribosomal RNA", at positions 28 to 506 of the family's 1533-position model. The record is from RNAcentral.